UAGGGAAUCUUCCACAAUGGGCGGCAGGCCUGAUGGAGCAACACCGCGUGAGUGAAGAAGGGUUUCGGCUCGUAAAGCUCUGUUGUUAAAGAAGAACACGUAUGAGAGUAACUGUUCAUACGUUGACGGUAUUUAACCAGAAAGUCACGGCUAACUACGUGCCA
RNAcentral lists this ribosomal RNA (164 nucleotides) under uncultured bacterium. RNAcentral's name for it is "partial 16S rRNA". It matches the Rfam family "Bacterial small subunit ribosomal RNA", at positions 355 to 510 of the family's 1533-position model. The record is from RNAcentral.